CCUACGGGAGGCAGCAGUGAGGAAUAUUGGUCAAUGGGCGUAAGCCUGAACGAGCCAAGUCGCGUGAGGGAUGAAGGUUCUAUGGAUCGUAAACCUCUUUUAUAAGGGAGUAAAGUGUGGUAAGUGUCCGGUCUUGUAUGUACCUUAUGAAUAAAGAUCGGCUAACUCCGUGCCAGCAGACGAGGUAAUACGGAGGGUCCGAGCGUUAUCCGGAUUUGUUGGGUUUAAAGGGUGCGUAGGCGGUGUUUUAAGUCAGAUGUGAAAGUCUGUGGCUCAACCAGAGAAUUGCCGUGGAUACUGGGAGGCUUGAGUGUGGAUGAGGAAGGCGGAAUGCGAGGUGUAGCGGUGAAAUGCGUAGAUA
This 361-nucleotide ribosomal RNA is filed under the name uncultured bacterium. RNAcentral's name for it is "partial 16S ribosomal RNA". It matches the Rfam family "Bacterial small subunit ribosomal RNA", at positions 338 to 696 of the family's 1533-position model. The record is from RNAcentral.